This is a long non-coding RNA of Brassica napus (rape), 363 nucleotides long. RefSeq lists it as uncharacterized. The transcript has 3 exons. The record is from RefSeq and is a predicted model, not a curated record. NCBI's taxonomy places the organism in Eukaryota, Viridiplantae, Streptophyta, Magnoliopsida, Brassicales, Brassicaceae.
AGAAGCAUGGGUAGUUAGUUUCUAAACAACUUAAAUACAAUAGCAGAAUAAGGCGUUUAAAGAUGAAGCUUGUGGUUUUCAUAUCGUUCUUGCUCAUGCUUUCAUUGUGCUCUUCAGGAUUUGGGGAGGGUCGCGAAAUUGCUGAUAACGACCUCUUUUCCUCGAACAAGGUUGAAGAGCUGUAUAGUGAUCGAAUGAUGGAUUAUCCUCCAACGGGCCCAAACCCAGGACACGACCCGACAGUUCCUCCGCCUCCACAUUCCGACGAAGAAAACAUGAUGGAAAAUUAUGUUAACUGAAUAUUGAAAUCCAUCCCAUCUUUGUAAAACAUAUAAUUAAAUAAAUUGCAUUCGUGAGCUCUUA